Molecule: ribosomal RNA, 772 nt
Filed under: Cryobacterium sp. N4_92_1
Lineage: Bacteria; Bacillati; Actinomycetota; Actinomycetes; Micrococcales; Microbacteriaceae
Description: bacterial SSU rRNA
Rfam family: Bacterial small subunit ribosomal RNA
Source: RNAcentral
UCGAACGGUGAUGAGGAGCUUGCUUCUCUGAUCAGUGGCGAACGGGUGAGUAACACGUGAGCAAUCUGCCCUUGACUCUGGGAUAAGCGUUGGAAACGACGUCUAAUACCGGAUACGACCUUUGGAGGCAUCUCUGGGGGUGGAAAGAAUUUUGGUCAAGGAUGAGCUCGCGGCCUAUCAGCUAGUUGGUGAGGUAAUGGCUCACCAAGGCGACGACGGGUAGCCGGCCUGAGAGGGUGACCGGCCACACUGGGACUGAGACACGGCCCAGACUCCUACGGGAGGCAGCAGUGGGGAAUAUUGCACAAUGGGCGAAAGCCUGAUGCAGCAACGCCGCGUGAGGGACGACGGCCUUCGGGUUGUAAACCUCUUUUAGUAGGGAAGAAGCGAAAGUGACGGUACCUGCAGAAAAAGCACCGGCUAACUACGUGCCAGCAGCCGCGGUAAUACGUAGGGUGCAAGCGUUGUCCGGAAUUAUUGGGCGUAAAGAGCUCGUAGGCGGUUUGUCGCGUCUGCUGUGAAAACCCGAGGCUCAACCUCGGGCCUGCAGUGGGUACGGGCAGACUAGAGUGCGGUAGGGGAGAUUGGAAUUCCUGGUGUAGCGGUGGAAUGCGCAGAUAUCAGGAGGAACACCAAUGGCGAAGGCAGAUCUCUGGGCCGUAACUGACGCUGAGGAGCGAAAGCAUGGGGGAGCGAACAGGAUUAGAUACCCUGGUAGUCCAUGCCGUAAACGUUGGGAACUAGAUGUGGGGACCAUUCCACGGUCUCCGUG